RNAcentral lists this ribosomal RNA (497 nucleotides) under uncultured bacterium. Its description in RNAcentral is "partial 16S ribosomal RNA". It matches the Rfam family "Bacterial small subunit ribosomal RNA", at positions 28 to 507 of the family's 1533-position model. The record is from RNAcentral.
GACGAACGCUGGCGGCGUGCCUAAUUCAUGCAAGUUGAGCGCUGAAGGUUGGUACUUGUACCAACUGGAUGAGCAGCGAACGGGUGAGUAACGCGUGGGGAAUCUGCCUUUGAGCGGGGGACAACAUUUGGAAACGAAUGCUAAUACCGCAUAAAAACUUUAAACACAAGUUUUAAGUUUGAAAGAUGCAAUUGCAUCACUCAAAGAUGAUCCCGCGUUGUAUUAGCUAGUUGGUGAGGUAAAGGCUCACCAAGGCGAUGAUACAUAGCCGACCUGAGAGGGGGAUCCGCCACAAUGGGACUUAGACAAGGGCCAAACUCCCACGGGAGGCAGCAGGAGGGAAGCUUCGGGAAAGGAAGAAAGUCUGACCGAGCAACGCCGCGUGAGUGAAGAAGGUUUUCGGAUCGUAAAACUCUGUUGGUAGAGAAGAACGUUGGUGAGAGUGGAAAGCUCAUCAAGUGACGGUAACUACCCAGAAAGGGACGGCUAACUACGUG